UACAGAGACUGCAAGCGUUACUCGGAUUCACUGGGCGUAAAGGGAGCGCAGGCGGACCGGUGUGUCAGAUGUGAAACCCCAGGGCUCAACCCUGGGACUGCGUCUGAAACUGCCGGUCUAGGGACUCGGAGGGGCUAGUGGAAUUCCUGGUGGAGCAGUGAAAUGCGUAGAUAUCAGGAGGAACACCAACGGCGAAGGCAGCUAGCUGGACGAGAUCAGACGCUCAGGCUCGAAAGUAUGGGGAGCAAAAAGG
Molecule: ribosomal RNA, 253 nt
Filed under: uncultured bacterium
Lineage: Bacteria
Description: partial 16S ribosomal RNA
Rfam family: Bacterial small subunit ribosomal RNA
Source: RNAcentral